This 494-nucleotide ribosomal RNA is filed under the name uncultured bacterium. RNAcentral describes it as "partial 16S ribosomal RNA". It matches the Rfam family "Bacterial small subunit ribosomal RNA", at positions 28 to 507 of the family's 1533-position model. The record is from RNAcentral.
GACGAACGCUGGCGGCGUGCUUAACACAUGCAAGUCGAACGGAAAGGCCUGCUUUCCCUUGUGGAUUGCGGGUACUCGAGUGGCGAACGGGUGAGUAACACGUGAGUGAUCUGCCCCCAACUUGGGUAUAAGCCUGGGAAACUGGGUCUAAUUCCCGAUAGGACUGCAGGGUGGUGCCUGUGGUGGAAAACGAUUUUCUAGUGGUUGGGGAUGAGCUCGCGGCCUAUCAGCUUGUUGGUGGGGUAAUGGCCUACCAAGGCGGCGACGGGUAGCCGGCCUGAGAGGGUGUACGGCAACAUUGGGACUGAGAUACGGCCCAGACUCCUACGGGAGGCAGCAGUGGGGAAUAUUGCACAAUGGGCGGAAGCCUGAUGCAGCGACGCCGCGUGGGGGAUGACGGCCUUCGGGUUGUAAACUCCUUUCGACCGCGAGGAAGCCACCUGGUUGGAAGGGUGGUGACGGUAGUGGUAGAAGAAGCACCGGCUAACUACGUG